This is a long non-coding RNA of Strigops habroptila (Kakapo), 1722 nucleotides long. The record is from Ensembl. NCBI's taxonomy places the organism in Eukaryota, Metazoa, Chordata, Aves, Psittaciformes, Psittacidae.
CAAAUGAAAACAAAAGAUUUAUUCUCUACAGCCCCUCAGCAAGUGAUGUCCAGCCACUUCCUGGGAAGUACUGCUUCAGUACAUGUAGUGGUUGCUCUAGAAGACAAACUUUAUAAUAAUAAAUGCUGCCCCCCAGUCCUUUCUCUUAGCUUUUAUUGCUAAGCCAACAUCAUGCAGUAUGGAAUAUCCCUUCGGCCAGUUGGGGUCAGCUGUCCUGGCUGUGUCCCUUCCCAAGAUUUUGCUUGCCCCCAUCGUCCUGGUGAGGGGGGAACACUGGAGAGACAGCCUUGGUGCAGCAGCCAGAACACUAGAGUGUUAUCAUCUGUUACACAGCACAGCACUGUGAGAGUUGCUGUGGGGAAAAUUAACUCCACUGCAGCCAGACCCAACAGAAGAGUGAAGAAAACCACUCCCCUAGACCACCUCAGAAUAUGUCCUCCUUUCUACUUUUUAAUACUAUCAAUUUGAACAGUCUAUCAGACAUUGUGUUCAUUAAAACACAGGAAGGGGGGAAAAAAAUGAAGGAGUCUUGAGGUUUUUUUCAAGUGUACAGACCAGUUAUCCACUCAUAAAAACUAAAAGACAGUCCUAAUGCUAAAAACCAUACUAAAUGUUUACGAACAUUACCAUUUUAGUAAUUGGUGCCCCUUAUAUCUAUCUGUUCCUCCCUCUACCUCACUUUUUUUCUUUUGUUUCACCAUACAAUGAAACCAGUAUUACACACCGAAGCUUAAGAUUCUAGUUUUUUUGCUGAAAAGGAAUUAACAUUUUAGACAGCCAUCAUUAGGCAUUAGCUGCUGCUCUCGAGAGUUGAAAGUCUUAAAAGCUACUCCUGCCAGUCUUGCACUUUAAGAACAAAGACCCAUGAGCACCACUGCUGAACAGAUGGUAUCUUCAGGGAAUAUAAUCCCUAACAGAAGCCCUAAACUUUUAAGUGCAUCCAGUAAUUACAUGUUGGAUUGCUAAAAAAUGAAUUACUCUUGUCCAAACAUCCUUCCCUCAUGACAAACCAAAACCUUAUGCUUUUACUUUGCAUUAGCAAUUUAUGUGCAUUCAGUAUUGAAAAAAAUCAGACAGUGCAAGGUAGGUAAUUUCAGCACUUGCUCUUCUAACAAAAUACAUUUAUCGUAAGUCUUCCUGAAAAACCACCCAGGAAUUCCAGUUUUUAUCCUUACAGUAUUUCACUCUAUUUCAAGUUUCAUUAAAGUACCAUAUUAUGCAGCUGAUAAAGGUAAUAAUAAACCCAAGCUUGCAGUUUUCAAUAUUGGGAGAAGUACCUUUCCUCCUAUUUUUAAACCCAUAUAUGCUGAACUUCAAUUUCUGCUUUUCCUCACCAGAAUACAAGUCUCAGCUAACCCAAUCUCCAAGUACUACAAGAAAGCACCGUUUCAGUGAUCACCUCCCAUCCACUUAAUAGCUCAUACAUUUUAUUUAUUCCAAAGGGGUGGACUGAACCAAAAACAACACGGAGGGAGUCAGAGCUCUGAGCACUCAGUACUUUUUAACUCUUUCCUACACAUCUUUCUCAUGCUCAGAGGCUUUCACCACACAGGCUGUGUCUGAGCUUCUGAACUUCCAGCAAAACACAUCAGAACUCUCACCACCGCGGCCGGCCGCCGCUCAGCUCAGGCGGUCGCGUUCCGGCGGCCAGCGGGCGCCGGGCGCAGGACUCCAACCACGGCCGCCACCGCCGCCGCCGCCUGCGCAGGGAAGCCGCAUCUC